CAUGUCUUUUUGAUAAUAAUUUAAAGUCUGACCUGCCCUAUGAAUUAUUAAAUGGCUGCGGUAUACUGACCGUGCAAAGGUAGCAUAAUAAUUAGUUUUUUAAUUGGGAACUGGAAUGAAUGGUUGGACGAGAGAAAAACUGUCUCAAUUUAAUUUAAAUUAGAAUUUUAUUUUUAAGUUAAAAAGCUUAAAUAAAUUUAAAAGACGAGAAGACCCUAUAGAAUUUUAUAUAAAUUUUUAUUAUGUGAAAAUUAAAGUAUUUAAUUUUAAUAAUAAAAAUUUAUAUUUAGUUGGGGUGAUUGAAAAAUUUAAUAAACUUUUUUUUAUGUUUACCAUUGAUAUAUGAAUUAUUGAUCCAUAUUUUAUGAUUAUAAGAUUAAAUUACCUUAGGGAUAACAGCGUAAUUUUUUUUUAGAGUUCUUAUCGAAAAAAAAGUUUGCGACC
This 444-nucleotide ribosomal RNA is filed under the name Ochicanthon punctatus. RNAcentral's name for it is "partial 16S ribosomal RNA". The record is from RNAcentral. Lineage: Eukaryota; Metazoa; Arthropoda; Insecta; Coleoptera; Scarabaeidae.